UUCCAUUGCCAUUGCUUCAAGACCAUUUGCAGCGCAUAAGUGUCCAGUGCAACGAAUGAAGGGACGCAAAAUACCCCUACUGCCGUGUGGUAUCGAUAGCCACCCAUUAUUAAAUUUCUUGUGUGGGAUUUAUGAUCCAGUAUCUGGGACUGACACAUGCCAGCCGUAACAUAUUGUUCCUAAUACUGCUAUACUAAAGUUACAUUAGUGUACCAUCAUCUGGGGUGUAUAGGGACGUGGAGGUGAAUAGGGACAAAAAUUUAAAAAAAAACUAAUUAAUUAUAGCUUCUCCAUAUUUAAUGCCUGUUAUAAUUAUGCCAGUGCUGGUAAGUUGUAAAAACCAUUAUGUAUGAUAGAGUUGGAGCAAAAAUUUUGAAUUUUUAUUUCAGUUCGGUUGGCAUCCAUUAUUAUCAACCAUUAAAUUGGAGGGAAUUUCCCUAACCUCACAAAUGUUCACUAGUGCUGAGAAGUGUUUUUGGUCCCGUGCGGGAACGAUCGUCGUGCUCGCACUGUGGCUACAUCAUGGAAUAAUCUAGAAACUUCUGAUUCAUCAUUACCAUCGCUACAUAUAAUACCUAUGGAAUCUGAACUUUCACAACAAGGCAAACGAAAAUUACGAGAGGAUGAAGGCAUCUCAGAAGCUAGGACAACUAAGGCUAACCGCAAGACUGAUUCGGCACCUCCUGAUUCUUCAGAAAUAAGGAAUUCACAAUGCCAAGGAACUACAAAAGAGAUCCUCGAUCAAGAGUCCAUCGUCCUGUUGAUCAAGAAAAUGUCCAAAGAGCUGUUCAGGAAGUUAACCGUGGUAUGUCCAUAAGGAAGGCACAAAAGCAUUUUGGAGCUUCCAAGUCAGCCUUACAUCGCUAUGUGAAAAAAAUUCAAGAAUGACACAGGUUGAUAACUGUACAGUAGCAAACUGUAACAAUAGAAGACUGCAGUAGCCAGCACCAGUGGUGCCACAUGCCUGUCCAUCGUACCAUGGGUGGCGGGUUUAAGUCUUACUUCACAAAUGAAUGUUUAGUUUUGUCAUGAGAUAUUUCAGUUGAACUGUACGCCAUCCUCUGUAAAUCUGUACUGCAUGUCACAAGUAGUAUUAUAAGCCAUAUUUAUAAAAAUAAAAUACGAAUAAUAGUCAUAAACAGUGCCAAUUUAAUAGCGAUUUCUGUUUGGUUUUAGACGAAGGAUAAAAUUAUAUUUUUUUAAUUUUAUAUUUAUAAAAAAUUGCUGGAAUAAUUCAUAGUUGUGUGUUCACAUAGUUCAAGAUUUGAGAGUUGUGAUGUGCAAAUUAUCUUAUGAGAAAAAAACUAGGACAUAUAA
Molecule: long non-coding RNA, 1317 nt
Organism: Bacillus rossius redtenbacheri
Lineage: Eukaryota; Metazoa; Arthropoda; Insecta; Phasmatodea; Bacillidae
Exons: 3
Source: RefSeq, a predicted model, not a curated record